ACUGCCCCAGGGGCUUGACCGUGCUGUUGCUGCCUGUUGCUGUGUGUGCGCGCUGCAUUGAGGCAGGUCGAUGUGGAUGUUUAAUCGUGUGUACGCUGUGCCGAGAGAAAAUGUCGUGCCCCUUGUGUGCUUUGAUGAUCACCUAACCCCUGGGACCGCGUAACGUAGCUCGCAGUACCUUUCGCGUGGUUCGCCGAUGUCGAUUAUCGUAGUUAUGGCCCGCUUGCGCUUUCUUUGUUCCCGGCCUCUGAUAAUAUCGCAUCGGAUCACAGUGCACGGAACAAUUUGUUGAGCUAUUACGUGCUGUAGUUCAUCCGCAAUUCAACAGUGUUUACGUCGGAAGGAUCGUCGUGCAGUCGACGCCGCGACCUGACAUGAAGGAGCGUUUGCCGACUACGCCUAGAAAGGGAUGUCAAGAUUUCGUGAACCAGAGGCACCGCAUAGGAACCUAAGACAUUUCUGCAGCCGGAACAGCACGGCAAAGCAUCUGAUCUGCAUGCUGCGACAAGGUAUGGCUGGGCCUGGUGAUGAAGUGUAAGCAGAACAUGCUAUGCUGCGAAUUGGUGCCAAUCUUCACAUCCGAGUUGUUCCCACGACAGUCAAGCACCACUGUGAUUUGCUUCAUUGGCAAGGUAAUAUACUAUGGUGAGCUUGCACCUCAAUAUUGGUAUUGAAAAAUAUGUCAAGUAAAAGACACAAGAGUUGGCCUUUAUGAGAGAUACACUCAUGUUCUUUUUUUAAAGAGCUCUUUUAGCACUGUUCUUUAUGGGCAUGUUUUCAGAGGAUGCUUAUACUCCUUUAUUACAAACUGCCAUGGAGCUAGUUUGUGUGUUAAACUAACACUCUUUCACUAAGAAAAAGUCCAGUUUUUACUCGCACAGUGAUAUGGUGCCAAGGACGAAAGGGGUGGAAUGGAUCAAUCUGAAUGCAUGUUGCUCACACAAAUACAAAAAGGGAGCAUGGUAUGGCUAGCGCGAUUUGUUUUACAGUGAUGAUAAGCAGUCUCAAUGUCUAAUAAUUCUAUUGAUAGGGAGCUAACACACUGGUUCCCCGUCAUUUGAAUAAGGAAAGAUUCACAUAUCUCUGAAGCACUCUGGUCCUUAUAUUUUGCCACAUUCAAGUGGUUUUUAAAUAUGGGUGCACAUUGCACUGAGAGCAGUGCAAUACUAAUGCCAACUGACCCACACAUCAAGUUUGCGUGGUUACGCAGCCUGUCAUUUAUACAUUUGGCUUGUUUAGCCAAUGUAGCAUCUACUGCACAAUAAUGGUAUGUGAUAGACACUGCACCUGUGUACUCUAUGCUUUUUUUGCAUUCAAUUUUUUUCACCGGUAGUGAUGCAUGCCUUUUCAUUAUUUAUGUGCCUACACAACAAGCCAAGCUUGUUCUUGGCCGAGAAAGAAUUCUAGGAAAAGCCUACGUGCUGCAACUUUUCUUGGAACGAAACUAGCUUGGCUCGUUGGGUUAGGUUAAAUGGUUCGAUGGGUUUUGGAGCCCAUACGGGUUCCUUGCUCACACUAAGACACAUAAGCUUGUAGACUGUGCUUCUGUAAUUUGUACAGCUCACUGACAGUGCAGGUGCAGGCCUCAUCUUCUCAAAGAAGCUGACUGACUGCACCUUCCACGGAGCAGGUGACUCGGGUUGAGUGAGGCACCAGUGUUGGUGUUUGUUCCCUUGUGCAAAACAGCAGCUUUAGGUUCAUUGUAGUUGUAGGAAGACAAGUUACACAUAACUUCCAUGGUUUGAGUGGGCGCAUUUCUCUUGGGGCAUCAAGCUUUUUUUUUCCAACUGUCUGCAUGGGUGCUUCAGUAGCAUUGGUGUGAAGUUGGCAUAGAGUUGUGCAUUCAAGAACUUCUGAACAAUGACCUGCUGUAGUUAGCGCUGUGAAGAUUGCAUCGUCUACCAAGCCUUUGGUUUUCUGUUGGUGUACUUGUAAUCGUGCUGUCAGUAAUUUCUCGGCUUGCCGAAUUAUCUUGAGGCCCCACACUGACGCUAUCUAUGUCUUCAAGUGCAGACUUUUAGGAUAAGGUUCUUCGCUUUGCAAAUGUGGUUGUAGGAAAGGUGGCACUUACAGGUGCCUAUUCUGGACAUUAUUGAAACAAGCCAGCGAAUCUUGGUUACGUCUUGUCCAUAGUGUAUAGCAGUUAGUCAAGGGUUGAGAAAAUUGCUCUCAGUGGUAGCAUGCUGGCAGUAACUUGGUCAUUGACCACAUCCUCAUCAUUAUGUUACCUGAUUAGAUUAAUUUUCGUUGAAGCUUUGACAAAAUUUUCCUACAGAAGUUAUGGAUAACACAUUUUAGCCAAGGCACAUUGGUUCGUCUUACUCGUGUCCCGAUUAGAAAUCUAUAGGUGCCACCUUUCCUUCAACCAGACUUACAAAGCUAAGAACCUUGUCCUGAAAAGUUGGCACUUUAAGACAUCAGUAGCGUCAGUGUGGAGCCUCCGGAUAAUUCGGCCAGCCGGGCAGAAAUUACUAAUAGCAAGAGUUCAAGAAUGCUGACAGAAAAUCAAGGGCUUGAAAACUGACACAUUUGCAAGAUGCCAACUAGAGCAGCUCUAUGUCCACUUCAUAGCGACGCUAACGGACCACCUGUGCAAACUGUCGCAAGAAAGCUUGACAUAUUAAAACAAAAAAAGCCUGUUUAAACCAAGAAGUUAACUUCAGCUUGUCUUCCUGCAAGCCCACUAAACCUGAAACUGCCAUUUUGUGCAAAGGACUGAACUUCAACACUGCAGGAUACUUCACGAUAUCCUGGCGAGAGUAACCUUCACCGUGGAACAUGCCUGCAGUCAGCUCCUUCUGAA
Molecule: long non-coding RNA, 2803 nt
Organism: Dermacentor silvarum
Lineage: Eukaryota; Metazoa; Arthropoda; Arachnida; Ixodida; Ixodidae
Exons: 3
Source: RefSeq, a predicted model, not a curated record